RNAcentral lists this ribosomal RNA (252 nucleotides) under uncultured Lactobacillus sp. Its description in RNAcentral is "partial 16S ribosomal RNA". It matches the Rfam family "Bacterial small subunit ribosomal RNA", at positions 111 to 355 of the family's 1533-position model. Lineage: Bacteria; Bacillati; Bacillota; Bacilli; Lactobacillales; Lactobacillaceae. The record is from RNAcentral.
UAACACGUGGGGAACCUGCCCCUAAGUCUGGGAUACCAUUUGGAAACAGGUGCUAAUACCGGAUAAUAAAGCAGAUCGCAUGAUCAGCUCUUGAAAGGCGGCGUAAGCUGUCGCUAAGGGAUGGCCCCGCGGUGCAUUAGCUAGUUGGUAAGGUAACGGCUUACCAAGGCGACGAUGCAUAGCCGAGUUGAGAGACUGAUCGGCCACAUUGGGACUGAGACACGGCCCAAACUCCUACGGGAGGCAGCAGCU